Molecule: ribosomal RNA, 253 nt
Filed under: uncultured bacterium
Lineage: Bacteria
Description: partial 16S ribosomal RNA
Rfam family: Bacterial small subunit ribosomal RNA
Source: RNAcentral
UACGAAGGGGGCUAGCGUUGCUCGGAAUCACUGGGCGUAAAGCGCACGUAGGCGGGUUGUUAAGUCGGGGGUGAAAUCCUGGAGCUCAACUCCAGAACUGCCUUCGAUACUGGCGACCUUGAGUCCGGGAGAGGUGAGUGGAACUCCGAGUGUAGAGGUGAAAUUCGUAGAUAUUCGGAAGAACACCAGUGGCGAAGGCGGCUCACUGGCCCGGUACUGACGCUGAGGAGCGAAGGCCAGGGGAGCAAACGGG